GGAAGGAUCAUUCAUAAAGGAGACUUACUCUUGUAGUAUGUCACCGAAAUUAAAUAUCCAUCUAACCCUCUGUGCACUGUAAACUGAAAUACUUUGGCUUGUUUUGGCUUUUUACGAAGCCAACUCUGACUUGAAUUGAAUGAUUCUUGUGAGAGCGGCAGCCAAGGUUUUGUCUAACCAACCAUGAAAUCAUUGUCUGAAAAUUUAAUAUAUUUUAAUAUAAAUUAAAUACAACUUUCAACAACGGAUCUCUUGGCUCUCGCAUCGAUGAAGAACGCAGCGAAAUGCGAUACGUAAUGUGAAUUGCAGAAUUCAGUGAAUCAUCAAAUCUUUGAACGCACAUUGCGCUCCCCGGUAGGCCGGAGAGCAUGCUUGUUUGAGUAUCAAAAGUGUAUUCCUCCAUCAGACCAACCCCCCCUUUUAGCACAGUUAACAUCGAAAUACUUUGAUGAAAAUGAAACUUAUAUAGGUGGGUCUGAAUCGGAAGAGAAUUGAGCUAUUACCCAACGUACCUCUCGCUAGGUAUGGAGGGAAGCUUGAAAUGCAGGUUUAGCGAGUUUUCAACUUGGCAAAAGCGUAACUUAAUUUCGUUUCCUCUGGAAAUGAAUUUCCUCGCCCAAGCCGUUCAAAGUUGUAAUUUGCUUACUAUGCAGGAACUACAAAGAGAACUUUGUUCUUUUUAACACCCGAUCUCAAAUCAAGUAGGACUACCCGCUGAACUUAAGCAUAUCAAUAAGCGGAGGAAAAGAAACUAACAAGGAUUCCCCUAGUAACGGCGAGUGAAGCGGGAUGAGCUCAAAUUUAAAAUCAGGCGGUUUUCCGUCAGAGUUGUAGUUUAAAGAGGCGUUUUCGGUGGCUACCUGGGCAUAAAUACCUUGGAACAGGUUAUCAUAGAGGGUGAGAAUCCCGUCUUUGGCUCAGAUUCAGCUACUAUGUGAUACGUCUUCAACGAGUCGAGUUGUUUGGGAAUGCAGCUCAAAAUGGGUGGUAAAUUUCAUCUAAAGCUAAAUAACGGCGAGAGACCGAUAGCGAACAAGUACCGUGAGGGAAAGAUGAAAAGAACUUUGAAAAGAGAGUUAAACAGUACGUGAAAUUGUUGAAAGGGAAACGUUUGAAACCAGUCAUGCUGGCAGGAAAUCAGCCGUCUCUGCAAUCUGGUCCCGGUGGAUGGAGCGCAAGCCCAUUGCUGUGGCCAAGGAGGUUGAGGUUGGUUCACUUUUCUGUAAGCAGGUCAGCAUCAGUUUGGGCCGCCGGAUAAAAGUUGGAGGAAUGUGGCUCCUUGUGAGUGUUAUAGCCUCCUUCCCAUACGGUGGGCUGGACUGAGGACUGCAGCUUGUGCCUUUAGGCAAGAGGGGUGCUCGUCGCUGGUGGAAGUCAAAUGGCAAACUACAUGUAGAUUGUUAGUUGAAUUCUUCAUCGGCGGGUGCUUACUACUUUCAAGCUUAGGAUGCUGACUUAAUGGUUUUAAACGACCCGUCUUGAAACACGGACCAAGGAGUCUAACAUAUAUGCGAGUGUUUGGGUGGCAAACCCAUGCGCGUAAUGAAAGUGAAUGUAGGUGCGAUCCGUAAGGAGCAGCAUCGACCGAUCUGGAUAUUUUUUGAUGGAUUUGAGUAAGAGCAUAUCUGUUGGGACCCGAAAGAUGGUGAACUAUGCCUGAAUAGGGUGAAGCCAGAGGAAACUCUGGUGGAGGCUCGUAGCGAUUCUGACGUGCAAAUCGAUCGUCAAAUUUGGGUAUAGGGGCGAAAGACUAAUCGAACCAUCUAGUAGCUGGUUCCUGC
Molecule: unclassified non-coding RNA, 1781 nt
Filed under: uncultured fungus
Lineage: Eukaryota; Fungi
Description: sequence contains 18S rRNA gene, ITS1, 5.8S rRNA gene, ITS2, 28S rRNA gene
Rfam family: Eukaryotic large subunit ribosomal RNA (bases 688-1781)
Source: RNAcentral